GGGACCCGCGGUGUAGGGGUGAGCGUGGUUGCCACUCACUCAGUCGGCCUGGGUUCCAAUCCCAGACGGUCCCG
Molecule: transfer RNA, 74 nt
Filed under: Culex quinquefasciatus (southern house mosquito)
Lineage: Eukaryota; Metazoa; Arthropoda; Insecta; Diptera; Culicidae
Description: tRNA-Glu
Source: RNAcentral